This 475-nucleotide ribosomal RNA is filed under the name uncultured bacterium. RNAcentral describes it as "bacterial SSU rRNA". It matches the Rfam family "Bacterial small subunit ribosomal RNA", at positions 335 to 801 of the family's 1533-position model. The record is from RNAcentral.
ACUCCUACGGGAGGCAGCAGUAGGGAAGUCUUCCACAAUGGGCGCGAAGCCUGAUGGAGCAACACCGCGUGAGUGAAGAAGGGUUUCGGCUCGUAAAGCUCUGUUGUUAAAGAAGAACACGUAUGAGAGUAACUGUUCAUACGUUGACGGUAUUUAACCAGAAAGUCACGGCUAACUACGUGCCAGCAGCCGCGGUAAUACGUAGGUGGCAAGCGUUAUCCGGAUUUAUUGGGCGUAAAGAGAGUGCAGGCGGUUUUCUAAGUCUGAUGUGAAAGCCUUGGCUUAACCGGAGAAGUGCAUCGGAAACUGGAUAACUUGAGUGCAGAAGAGGGUAGUGGAACUCCAUGUGUAGCGGUGGAAUGCGUAGAUAUAUGGAAGAACACCAGUGGCGAAGGCGGCUACCUGGUCUGCAACUGACGCUGAGACUCGAAAGCAUGGGGUAGCGAACAGGAUUAGAUACCCUGGUUGGAUAGCG